This 336-nucleotide ribosomal RNA is filed under the name uncultured soil bacterium. RNAcentral describes it as "bacterial SSU rRNA". It matches the Rfam family "Bacterial small subunit ribosomal RNA", at positions 26 to 360 of the family's 1533-position model. The record is from RNAcentral.
AGGAUGAACGCUGGCGGCGUGCUUAACACAUGCAAGUCGAACGAUGAAGGCUGGAGCUUGCUCUGGCUGGAUUAGUGGCGAACGGGUGAGUAACACGUGAGUAACCUGCCCCAGACUCUGGGAUAAGCGCUGGAAACGGCGUCUAAUACCGGAUACGAGCUUCCACCGCAUGGUGAGGACGCUGGAAAGAUUUCGGCUGGGAUGGACUCGCGCUAUCAGCUUGUGGUGAGGUAAUGGCUCACCAAGGCGACGACGGUAGCCGGCUGAGACGGGUGAACCGGCCACGACUGGGACUGACGACGACGGCCCAGCCGUCGUACGGGAGCCAGGUCAGGU